Long non-coding RNA from Stegodyphus dumicola, 616 nucleotides. NCBI's taxonomy places the organism in Eukaryota, Metazoa, Arthropoda, Arachnida, Araneae, Eresidae. The record is from RefSeq and is a predicted model, not a curated record.
CCGGCCUGUAGGGUUUAUACAGAAAGUAGAAGAGGCUUUCAAAUAUACACACUAAGUUGAUAUUUACUAAUGAACUUUCAAAUUUCUAGAUUCUCGUGGAUCUCUAUUCAUAUAGUAGAUUUGGUAGGUACCCUAUGAAGGAUACCUCUUAGCCAAAAAAUGCCUGGUCCAGUUGAUGUCCCUCAUUGGGAGGUACCACUGUAUAAGCUAUCAAUAUGAGUGAAAAUUUGGAAGGGAAAAAAAGGUAUAUGUUAAAACAACAAGACACAUAAUUCAAGUAUUUAAUAAAAAAAUUAAAAAAAAAAAAAAAAAAAAAAGAUGCAAAUCUAUCACAUAUAGGAAGAAAAAAAGUUCAAGUCUAGAUCAGUAUGUAACACAAAAGAAUAUAAAAAGGAGAAAAAAAUGAAGAUGAACAAUAGAAUAAUUUAUAGCAUCUGAAAAGACCUAGAUCAAUGUACAAAAGACCAGAAAGAAAAAAAAAAAAAAAAAAAAAAGAGCAAAGUGAAGAUAAAUAAGAAGAUUUGAAAAAUCUCCCAAACUUUGAUAUAUCUAUGCGCCAAACACAUUUUAUUUUCAUUAUGAAUGAUUUUAUAAUUAAAAAUAAAUUGCUAUCAAA